Schizosaccharomyces pombe (fission yeast) is the source of this 618-nucleotide non-coding RNA. NCBI's taxonomy places the organism in Eukaryota, Fungi, Ascomycota, Schizosaccharomycetes, Schizosaccharomycetales, Schizosaccharomycetaceae. The record is from the annotation of a GenBank genome assembly.
AACAUGGUAAAACCAACACCACUGCACAUACGACCGAUAAGAAUUAAAUACAGCCAUUGUGCACGGUACGCUAGUGAAUACAGUAAAUGGCCUAUUAUUUGAGAAAUGCAGGAAACAAUCAGUGGUCGAAAGUAGAGCGUAUAUCCAUUGGCAGACUUUGGAUUCGCAAACCGAAGCAUUGGAUAUAAGCAAACUAGUGAAAUCAUAGUAGGAAUACCAAUAACAAGACCUGAGAAAGCAUCAGUACCUCCCAAAAUUUCAGUGUAUGCAGCCGAAAUUGGCAACGCAAUAGUCAAAGACAUUUCAGACAUGAGAUUGUUGAGUAAUACAAGUGCAAUUGAUCGUUUAGGAGGACAAGCAUCAGGAUCUAAUGCUUUCGGAUAUGAAUUGCUUUCGAGAUUGCUUGUAGCACGUGUAAUGUUGCCUUGUUUAUCAGGAAUUUCCUCCAGUUCAAUAUUUCCAAAAGCAGUUUUUGAGAAACCAGAUCGAUAUUCUGAUACACUAGGAGUGAUAGUGCUUGAACGUGAAAGUCGUCUUUGAGUUUCCUGAGGUUUAUACUGACUCCAUGUCACUGUUUCGGUCGUAGUGCUCAUUUUUACAGAUAUUUUUGCUUUUCCU